Molecule: long non-coding RNA, 4549 nt
Organism: Corapipo altera (White-ruffed manakin)
Lineage: Eukaryota; Metazoa; Chordata; Aves; Passeriformes; Pipridae
Exons: 18
Source: RefSeq, a predicted model, not a curated record
AGCACCUUAUUAGCUCACAUUUUGAAGAGCCUUCUCUGGAGGAACGUAAAGGCUGUGAGUGUCACGGUCUCUGUGAGAGCAGCACAGACACGUCCCCUUCCAUGUUCAUGGAUCAACAGCCUUUCCUGGAGUACGUAGCUAAGCCCUUUCUCUAUACUUUUGUUUUCAUAAUCUGCAGAGAAAGAGCAAGGCUUUUUUCCUGCCUCACUGAGUGUGUUGGUUUAGUGCCUGUGUGUAGCUUAGCUAAGCCAAAAGAGAGUUGGUACCACUCAGAACAGCACUCAGAUUGUUGGGCUACUUGAGGAAAAAGUGUUUCUCAAUCACUCCUUUUGAACCCACUGCAUUUAACAUAGAAGUGCUAAACAUGAGUGGAAUGAGUGGAAAGGAAUAAAGAGCUUUGAUUUCUCAAUGCUGAUGAUGAAUGCUGGUGGUGAUGGGAACUCUGGGCUAAUUGUAUCUAUGCUGGGGAUUUUUUUCCUUCCUUUUUUUUUUUUCCCUUUCUUUCUUUCAUCCCAUAAUUGAACAAGCUGCUAAAAGAACCUUAGGAUUAAAUAUUGAACAAGAUGGUUCCUGAGUAACCGUUUCAACUAAUGCACCAGAGAGUUGUACAAGUUUUUGCUACACUUGUGUUGUUUAGGGAAUGCUCUUGAUAGGGAUUUGACUCUCCUGCCUGUAAACACACAGCUAUGAGCAACAGUUGGAAGGAUGGAGAGGCACUUUACCUGCACAUCAAGCUGGUAACCCUUUCUGGAUUGCACAGAUCCCCCUGGGAGGAAGCAUGUGACGCUGUUUAGUUCCCCCUGCAGAGGGGAUUCCCCAGGAACAGACCGUCCUACAGCAUUAACUACCUAAAGCUGACUUACCAUCAACAAAAGCUAAGAGAGGAAAAGAAACACAAACAACUAAAAGAAGGUGAAUAACAAACACCACCAAUUCCCAUUGCUGUCAUCAAUAUUGAAGUACUUCACUGAAGCAAAAUGUUACAAAGGAAGUUGGGAAUGGACAUUUAAAGACUUAAAAUCUACUGAAUUUUCUCCCCAGUUUGAUUGUUGGUCAUGUUCAAUGCUGAGUUCUGCAGGACUGACUUGGAAAUGCUUUCUUUUGACUUUGAUGCCUGGAGAGCCCAAUGACAGCAUGGAUUUAAGAAUCUACCUUGGCCUUUUGCCCCUUGAGACCUCAGUGAUGUGAAUGUGAGCAGUGCUCUGUGCAUUUAUGCAUGCUCGUGUCCUGGAGCCUAGAAGCACAAUUUCCCGUAAACAUUUCCAAGUUUGGAACAAAAACAGUGAUGGCCUGUGCCAUGACUUGAGUUCAGCAAGAACUGCCUGCUUGUGCUACGUGCCUUCAGGUAGGAUUGACUGGCUCAGUUAUCCUGCUUUAUGUGACUGCUUAAGAGAAGGCUACAGCCAGUCUCAUCUGCAAAAUGAAGCUCAAACUUUGUAUUUAUUCUAGCCCUGUAUUGACUGCAGUGGGAGUAUUAUCAUUAUAUAAAUGGAGACAAGAGGUUUUCACCCAGACUAUACAUAUGCAAAAAACCCAUACAUUAAGCUAGAACAUCCACUUCCUGAAAAUAUGGCACAGGAGAAGGGAGAGAACUGGUGUAGGUGUGAACCCCACACCUGCAUUUUGGAAAGGCAUAUUCCACCUAUCCUUCCAUCCAUCUGAUGAAGGACAGGAAUCCUGAGAGCUUUUUUGCUUUGCUUCCUGUACCUAUGGAAACAGAAAAACUAAAGAAAGAUGAACGACUUCUGUGUGAAAUUUCCUUCCAGGGAACUAACUGCAAAUUGCAGUGGUUAUUAAUACGAGUGAUUCAAGUCUAAUCAGGGAAAAGUAAGUAAAAACAUUUACUUUGCAUCCUACAAUCUAUGUUGGGGCUGGAAAACAAGAACUCUUUUUCUUUUUUUGGCACUUGUUUUCAUUUUCUUGACUUUGUUGUUUGUUUAUAGAAAAUAAUGGAAAAAGGGAAGCCAUCUCAGGAAGGAGAAAAACUUGCUUGUCACCUGGGAUAAGGAGAAUCAAAGCAAAACUUCCAAUGCUGUGGACGAGGAGAUGUGGUUGGAGAGGAAGAGGUGGCAUCACAAACAACAGGAAAACAAGGCUGUGAAUAUCAGGGAGCAUUUGGCAGUACCAAGAGGGUGCAGCUCAGAUGACACAAGCCCACAGCAGUCACCCUGUUUUUCCCAUUGAAGUGGAAGCAUUUGGAUUUCAGCUGGUCACAUUUUCUGUGCAGCGUUUGCACCAUCGUGGAGUUCACGCCCCUCAAGAGGGCCUUAGAUGAAACUGCAGAGAUUCAGUCAUAUUUUCUGGUUUUUACUACCAUGACACUUAACCCAAGGAAGAGAAAAGGAAGUGGGUCACAGGGGAGCAGAAAAGGCUGUGACUCUUGCUGAAAACUGCUCAGCAAUAAUGAAAACAUCCCCAAAUUAUCAGCACUGUUUCCAGCGCAAAUCCAAAACACGGCCCCACAGCAGCUACUGGGAAGGAAAUGAAGGACCCCAGCCCAAAGCAGCAUGCUGAGGUGUUUGCAUUGUCUCUUUCUACUUUUAAUAAUGGCUUUUUAUGUGACAGUGUGAUGGCUGAAAAGCAACCUGAUGCAGUGGCUACAUAAAUUUGGAAAACUCUUCUUGAAAUCUCUGGUAUAACCCGUGUACUACAGUGUGUCCAAAUGGAUUUAGUGUAUCAUAACGCUCCUAGAAAAACAAAGGGACAAAGAAGAUGGGAUUGCUAAGGGAGACAUUAGAUUUCAUUUCACACUGGUAAUAGUUUAGAGACGUGUGCUGAGCAAAAUGUGAUUCAAUUCUGCGGCACUUUUCUUUUUUAUUGCUGCUAAGUGAUUUCAAUAUCCAGUCUAAAGUGAUAUUGAGAGUGUUCGAUAGCAUGGGGAUGAAAUCAGGGAGCGCUGGAGGCUCAGAGGAGGCCACAAAUCUCAGGUUGACUCGAUGAAGCCUUUCGGAGCCAUCCCCACCUGACCUUAACCCAUCUUAUUUAACCUGGAGGCUGCUGUUGAAAGCAGAUGGAGAUUGCUACACAAACAAGGAGGAAUACCUGUAGUCGAUGGUCACAAACAUGGUUCUUUGGGGGCCGCUUCUCAAAGCUAAGGAGCUCCUUUCUGCUUCUGAUAAACACGCAGCUAGAAAAGGAUAGAAAACGAGGCCUGUGGACAUUCAUGCUCAACUCAUUCCCAGGGAUUAGGAUUAAAACCACGUGAAGUUACUUUGCUUAUUUGUAUUUUUAAUCCGAGCUGGGUACUACCACUAAUACUCAGUUCAUCAGUGCAGCACAGCUCCCUGCUGAAUUGGGAUGAGCUGGCGGAGUCAGCUGACAGAAGGAAGAGAGGAAUCCGUUUGGCAGCAGCACAGACUUACUUUGGUUUAAGGUGGAAGAAAGUGUUCACUCUUUCCAAGUGACCUAAAAGCAUCUGGAAAAGUGAAGAUAGAGGAUUGGGGUCACAAAAACUCCGUGUGGCUUUAGCAUCCUUGAAAACGCCAGGAAUGGAGUAAUUGGAUGACUGGUACAGGCUGUGGAUGCAGCUCUUUCAUCACUGCCCCCAGUGAAUGGAAUUCUUUCCCUUCUACAUUUAAAUCUAAUACAGACCUUCAGAUUUCGCUGUGGAUGGUUUCACCUCUGAGCUGAGCAGCAGCCCGAGAGAGCUUCACCUCUGCUGGCAUACGGAAAACCCUCUGAGGCUCCAGGUGCUGUGGAGCUUGUAUUUGCCUUCUGCAAAGUGCUUCUGGAAUUUUAGGAUGAUUUACAUCAACGUAUCCUGUGCCACUGCGCCAGGAGGAGUGAUGAGGGUGCCUGAAACACUCUGCAGGGACAAGGACACAAGAGAACCACACUCAGAAACCAGGAGGAGAGUCCCCACGAGGAAGCAAUAAUAUACAGUGCCUGAGUUAAGAGGUGACUGCUACCAUGGAAGUUCUCUAUUUCCUGCACUGUUUCUGGUUUGGUGCAGCCCUGGACAAUGUCAGGGAUGUGGUGUCACCACUGGAAGAUCUCAGGAAGGACAAUUCGAUUUUGAAGAAUGCCAAUGCUGUCCCACAUAUUGAUAAACACAUUAUACCAUUUAAACCAUGUCACUCAUCCAAAAGGAAAAAUGCCCAAUAAUCUGUAAUAUGAGGCUAUUAAUUUAUCCACAGAGGCAAUACUGCACGCACGGCUUGACUGAUAAGCAGCUUCUGUCUCCUGUGGUCAGUGGGACUGAUAACUCCAGGCUUCGUGACGGACCAAAUCCUUGCUCUCCCCAGUUCCUUGGAGCUGAAGGUGCUCACCCACACUCAGAGUUUAGACCCCCUGGCAUCGCGCCGAGGAGCUUGUGGAACCAGAAUACACGUCGGGCCCAUCUGGGUGGCCAUCACUCGCCCUGCCAGGGUCCCCGCGGUGAAGGCUCUGUGAGGGCCGCGGCUGCGGGGGCCACACAGACGUCACCGCGGUUGGAAUGGAUCCAUAGGGAUGUGUGUCCCCUGUGACUGAUGCCGGGGACAUGACUGCUGUGUGAGAUGUGCCUGUCUCUGGGUUUAGGGCUCGGGGCUCUCUGCGAUCCCGCGGCUCU